GAGGCGUUGAUGAUUAGGCCUGCAGAGUCUCAGAGCAGGGUUCCAGUAUUUAAAGUUCCAAUUCUACACUAAGAAUGGUAUGCGACAGAAAUGCAGGGUUCUGAGCUUCUGUUUUCUCCAAUCAGUUGGAAGUUCUGCAUGUAGAUUAUUUCCUGAGGGGCUGAUUUAUCAAGUCAGUGGCAGGACAACCUGAUCAAAACUUAUGGCUGACACCCUAAAGAUAGCUUCACAUGGUAGCAAAAAUGAGCAAAACAGACUUGAGUUCUAAUUCCUCCUCCACUUUGGCCCAGUUGUUUCCACUUUCUGAGCCACUUAACUCAACUGUAAAUGUAGAAUGGCAAUCCAAACUUUAUUCUUGUGGAGUUUGAAUGAGCAUAUCUCAUUUUGGACUAGCCAUCUUUCAAGAGCUCAACAGCCACGUGCUAUUAAUGGCUACCACAUUAAAGGCUCCAAGUCUAGAUGGAAAAUAAACAAGUAAACCUAUAAACACAGUUAAUAGAUGUUUUUCAGCUGCAAUCUGUACUGUGACUGGAAUGAGAAAGCCUUAAUUCAUACCAUCUUCCGAUGAUACAAGACAAGCAAGUUUGUAAUUUAAUAAACGCAGUCAAACCUGA
RNAcentral lists this long non-coding RNA (614 nucleotides) under Homo sapiens (human). RNAcentral's name for it is "HSALNT0354550". The record is from RNAcentral. Lineage: Eukaryota; Metazoa; Chordata; Mammalia; Primates; Hominidae.